Mycena rebaudengoi is the source of this 92-nucleotide non-coding RNA. The record is from the annotation of a GenBank genome assembly. NCBI's taxonomy places the organism in Eukaryota, Fungi, Basidiomycota, Agaricomycetes, Agaricales, Mycenaceae.
GGUUCAGUAGCAUAAUGGUUAAUGUGUCAGGAUAUAUGUACACUAGUUCCGCAAUUAUUCUGGUGACCCUUGUUCAACUCAAGGCUGAACCA